This 3151-nucleotide long non-coding RNA is filed under the name Cucumis sativus (cucumber). RNAcentral's name for it is "long non-coding RNA (CSAT_LNC000937)". The record is from RNAcentral. Lineage: Eukaryota; Viridiplantae; Streptophyta; Magnoliopsida; Cucurbitales; Cucurbitaceae.
GCGGCUUAAUUAGGGUUUUCCGGCAGGCGAACGUCGGAGAAGAAAUAGCGUUCGUAUUAACGCGGCGGCGAGGGUUUUGUAUUCGGAGUCUCCGAUUCAGGUUAAUGUUUUUAUAAUUUCUAAUUCUGGAGGGAAAUUUUCCAUUUUUAGCUCUAUCUAAAAUUGAACUUACCCCAUUUAUAAUCCCAAUUUCACCAAACUUAAACUAUCGCUACACUCUUGAAAAUAUUGCAACAUUGACCUGAAUUCAUCCUGGUCAUGAAUUGAGAGGAGGAAUUGAAUUCUAUAGUUGUUUGUUGGGUUUAUAUCCUCAGCACAACCCUUAUCUUACUUCUUUCACAAUCCGUUGGGGAGAAGUUUAAAAUAAAGACGAGAGAGUCUCGUCAGAUCAUAGUUUUAAAAACCUUAUUUGCGUGAAAAUUUCUAGUACUAUCGAAGUAUCUACUACUUUCAUUCAUAAUUUAAUACAUUGGUUAAUUUUAUGGGCCAUAUUAAUAUGAAUAAUUCUCUAUACUAUUGUAGUUAAUCACUAAUCACCUACUUAGGUGUUUUGCAAUCAACAUUAGAUGAGUAACAUUCUUAAACUAAAAUUAAAUUAGAACUUUCUAUUUAAAAAUUGUAAACAACAUAUAUGUAUGUUUUGGAAGCAACAUAUGAAAACAAUGUCUAGAAAUAGAGUUAAAGGUUUGAUGAAACAAAGCUUCUUGUUCUUGAUACAUUAUUUAUAACAAAUCGAAUAGAAAAGGAUUCAAACCUUUGAAGGAGAGAGAUUGGGUACUUUACUCAGCAAAGUUUGGUAUCACAUCAACACAAUUAGGGGUGUGACGAUAUAAUUUAGUUGGGAUGUCAUUUGUAGGAAGGGAGAAUAAUUGAAUAUGAUACCUUUUAUAGAUAUUGCAUUGCUGGCAAGCAAUUAUAGGUUGGAGCAUUGAUGAAGGAAUGAUGAAGUCUAAGUUAUGGAAAAGGCCUUAACAAUGGCUUACAAAGGAAUCCCCAUUUCCAAUCUGUCAUCCCCAAACACCACAUGAUAUGUCCUUUAAUUCCCUCCUCAUUUCUACACUAAUUUUAAUUAUGCAUAAGGUCCUUUAUAUACUAUAGCCUCCUCAUUUGACCCAUUGUUUUACCAUACAAUUCUUCCCAUUUUAUUCACUCCUCCAAAUAUCUUAUAACACUAUCUUAACAUUUUUUCUUCCCACUAUGGUUUCUCUUUUCCUUCUAGAAAGUAGGUUAAUUUAUCUAUUAUUAAAAUGGUACAUACUAAUAAUUGAUAGCCUUUAUUUAUUUUAAAAUCAUAUAGUAUGCAAUGAAUGUGAUUGAAUUUCUUUUUCAAAAGGUUUGUAAUGUGAAUCUAAGCAUGAUUUGAUGGAAACAUAUUGAUUUCUUCAACGUUCAAGUUUUGAUCUCUUGCACCUAUAUUUAUUGAGUUCUAAAAAAUUACAAAAUAAAAUUACAAAAUUAUACACGUAAAAACUAUAUAAUGUCUAAAUUUUUCCUGCCCAAUUUUCAAUAUGUUACAAAGUUUUAAGUUUUAAUAAAAACUAUAGGUAGGUUCUACAAAUUUAUACGUCCUAAGUUCACUAGGCUUAUUAAGAUUUUAUAUCAAAUGCCCACUUAAAUUAUAGGUCUGAAAAAAAGUACUAAAUAAAUAAAUAAAAAGAGUACAUGAAAUUUUGGAAUUUUUGUUAUUUAAAGCUAAAAAGAUAUAGCAAUAAGUUUAUAAAGAGAAGAAGAGGAAUAUUUUCUUUUUCUAUGUAUAAAACAAACACAAAAAGUAGUACAUUUAUUGAAUUUAUGUAAUAUAAAUUUCAAUUUCUUUUUUAGCUCACCAAACGAGUUUGAAGAUUUGAAUAUCAAACCUUUUGAAAAAUCAUAAUUUCAUUUCAUUCAUUACUCAUUUUGAAAUAAUUUUAAACAUUUAAAAAAUAGUUUCCUCACUAAUUUUAUGCGUUUUCAAAAUUGAAAUUCAAUACAAGAUUAAAAUCAAAAUUAUUAGAUCAUUCAAUUCAUUAGUGUCAUUGUGAACCCCAACUUAAGAAAGAGGGCUCAAAACAGAACAAUGUGUUGGGGGGAGACAGAGAAAUGGAGCAACUUUGUGAAAAGAAUAAAAAAGUAAUGUGAAAAGAGAGGACAGUGGCCUAGAUUCAAGCAAAAAAAAGAGAUAUAUAAUCUCCAUUAUAGAUAGAUUAUGUAUAUAAUAGAACCAAAUAAGUUCAAAAGAAUGAAUGGGUUACCACCAUUUUUCAUUCCCUACAUUCUUCAUCUUCACUUUCUGUAAAAAUUAUUUCAGUUUCAUACACAUCAUUCAUUUCAUUCUUUCAAUUUUGAACAAAAUCCCUAUUCACCACCAAAAAAAAUCACAUUCCUUUUUAGAGAAAAAAAAGAAGGGGACAUUCUGUUCAUUAAAAAGGAAAAAAAGAAAGAGAAAGAAAAAAGAAUUGUUUUUGCAUCUUUGAAGAUCUUCUCAUCUUGCUUCUUUCAAUAAUCUGCACAAAAGAAGAUCAUCCCAAUUCUCAAUACUCACAGAAAUUCAGAGAAGAAGAUUUGAAAAUAACAAUAUAACAAAGAAAGAAAUCUUAUGUGCUUACUUACCAUCAUGUUUUUUCAUUAACCCUCUUGCAAAAAGCAAACAAAUGACAACAAAUGCCACUCCUGCUGUUGAUCCAAGAAUUAUAGCCACUGUUUUCCCUAUAUUUCCUCCUGUUGUUUCACUUCCAAUAUUAGACAAAACCAAAAUCUCUUUGCUUUAAAAUAUUGAUAUAACUAAAUUCGCCAUAACCCAAUGCUAGUUUUUGGAUUAUUUAGCAUUUAACAUAGUAUUGAAGUGGAAGUCUUGUAUUUGAACUCCUAUAAACGUUGUGGGUUAUUGAUUGAUUUAACGUAGUAUGUGGAGGUGUUACACGUAAUAUUCGAGCUCCGUUUUCUUCUCAACUAGUAAUGAUUUUCAUUUGUUAGGUGUCGAAUUUUCAGACCCAAGUGGGUGAGAUUUAACGUUUGAGUGUUGUUUAAAAAUGGAAUAUACAGGCCAUUGGAGCCUUACCUGAUGAGGAGGAAGAUGAAGAUGAUGGUGAUGAUGAUCUUGUGGGCACCCCAUUUGGGUAAUAACUGUAACUUAUAAAGCAUCUGUGGAGAUAAAGUUGGCCUGAAAUUGAGC